AAGUGUCCUCUGUUGCCCAAAAUGGUCAGUGUUCCAGAAGUUAAGACUUGCAAAGAGGAGGUCUAUCAUCAAGUUUCAAUUGGGUGUGGUCCCAAGCCAGAAAGAGUAGAAUUCAAACAACCAGAUCAGUGUCAAAAUCACACCGCUGUCGAGUUUAUGUGUCAUGGACACUGGGAAGCAAAGCGGAUAAACUCGUCAGAGGUUGUUGGUUACAUCCUUGGCACACCCUUACGGACAGACAAAGAUAAAUACAUUUGUUUCUCGUACACAAAGAAAAAUGAAGUGUAUAGUCUUCGAGCAACGACUCCAACGUGUUAUGAGUCCAGAGCCUUGUUCACAUUCCAGCUCAAAAGCAAUGGCCACUGCCAGGCUGUCGAGACUCGUUCAGGAAAUGAUAUCGAUGGCGACGGUGAAUCUUGGGAAAGUGCCAACAAAAGCGCAACUCUGGUGAUCUCUGCACUCCAUUUUGUCAUCGCUUACCUACUCAGUAUUCAUAUCAGAUGA
Molecule: long non-coding RNA, 504 nt
Filed under: Bemisia tabaci
Lineage: Eukaryota; Metazoa; Arthropoda; Insecta; Hemiptera; Aleyrodidae
Description: lncRNA ENSASIAIIG002648
Source: RNAcentral